Molecule: ribosomal RNA, 35 nt
Filed under: Acer pseudoplatanus (sycamore maple)
Lineage: Eukaryota; Viridiplantae; Streptophyta; Magnoliopsida; Sapindales; Sapindaceae
Description: partial 25S ribosomal RNA
Source: RNAcentral
GCGACCCCAUGUCAGGCGGGAUUACCCGCUGAGUU